GACGAACGCUGGCGGCGUGCUUAACACAUGCAAGUCGUACGGUAAGGCCCUUUCGGGGGUACACGAGUGGCGAACGGGUGAGUAACACGUGAGUAACCUGCCCACAACUUUGGGAUAACGCUAGGAAACUGGUGCUAAUACUGGAUAUGUGCUCCUGCUGCAUGGUGGGGGUUGGAAAGCUCCGGCGGUUGUGGAUGGACUCGCGGCCUAUCAGCUUGUUGGUGGGGUAGUGGCCUACCAAGGCGGCGACGGGUAGCCGGCCUGAGAGGGUGACCGGCCACAUUGGGACUGAGAUACGGCCCCGACUCCUACGGGAGGCAGCAGUGGGGAAUAUUGCACAAUGGGCGCAAGCCUGAUGCAGCAACGCCGCGUGCGGGAUGACGGCCUUCGGGUUGUAAACCGCUUUCAGCAGGGACGAAGCUUUUUGUGACGGUACCUGCAGAAGAAGCACCGGCUAACUACGUG
Molecule: ribosomal RNA, 465 nt
Filed under: uncultured bacterium
Lineage: Bacteria
Description: partial 16S ribosomal RNA
Rfam family: Bacterial small subunit ribosomal RNA
Source: RNAcentral